GACGAACGCUGGCGGCGUGCUUAACACAUGCAAGUCGAACGGAAAGGCCCUGCUUUUGUGGGGUGCUCGAGUGGCGAACGGGUGAGUAACACGUGAGUAACCUGCCCUUGACUUUGGGAUAACUUCAGGAAACUGGGGCUAAUACCGGAUAGGAGCUCCUGCUGCAUGGUGGGGGUUGGAAAGUUUCGGCGGUUGGGGAUGGACUCGCGGCUUAUCAGCUUGUUGGUGGGGUAGUGGCUUACCAAGGCUUUGACGGGUAGCCGGCCUGAGAGGGUGACCGGCCACAUGGGGAAUGAGAGACGGCCCAGACUCCUACGGGAGGCAGCAGGGGGGAAUAGUGCACAAUGGGCGGAAGGCUGAUGCAGCAACGCCGAGUGAGGGAUGACGGACGUCGGGGUGUAAACCGCUGUCGCCUGUGACGAAGCGUGAGUGACGGUAAUGGGUAAAGAAGCACCGGCUAACUACGUG
RNAcentral lists this ribosomal RNA (468 nucleotides) under uncultured bacterium. RNAcentral's name for it is "partial 16S ribosomal RNA". It matches the Rfam family "Bacterial small subunit ribosomal RNA", at positions 28 to 507 of the family's 1533-position model. The record is from RNAcentral.